UCUUAACAAGUGUACUAAUUAAGUUAGAGUAAUAAAAUAAACUUGUGUCCACAAGGAUUGCACUAUUUUAACGAGUUUGUAAUUCAUGUGAUUUAAAAAGUAAAGUCGGGGGGUUUCAGAUAGGUUUUGUGGAAAAUAAUAAUACAAAUAAAAUUUGAUAAAAGUUCAGAUAAUGAGAAGGAGAUUAGAUGUCAUCAAAAUCCCUUAAUUUCC
RNAcentral lists this long non-coding RNA (213 nucleotides) under Lathyrus oleraceus (garden pea). Its description in RNAcentral is "Pisum sativum (pea) long non-coding RNA (PSAT_LNC040300)". Lineage: Eukaryota; Viridiplantae; Streptophyta; Magnoliopsida; Fabales; Fabaceae. The record is from RNAcentral.